Molecule: long non-coding RNA, 400 nt
Filed under: Chinchilla lanigera (long-tailed chinchilla)
Lineage: Eukaryota; Metazoa; Chordata; Mammalia; Rodentia; Chinchillidae
Description: lncRNA (ENSCLAG00000027385.1)
Source: RNAcentral
CUAUGUAGUUCAGGCUGGCCUUGAACUCAGUUAUGUAGCCUAGGCUAGUCUUACACUCACAAUGAUACUCCUGCCUCAGCCUCCCAAGUGCUGGGAUUACAGGUGCAUGCCACCACACCAGGCAAGUUGGACCUAUUCUGAAAAGAUUUUAGCACUGAACAUCCUGACCCAGGAGCAAGGAAAAUUAAAAACGGACAAGAUCUGCAUUCCCUGCUCCACCCUUCUGGGACACCCUCCUACAGGUCAUGAGUUUCCUAGGCAGCUUCAGAGAUCAAGGCCUCACUGUGGCCAUUGGGUUGUCACUGAGCUGCCAAAGAUCUUGACUCUAGAAACCUCCCAUCCUUCAGAACUGAAGCGUGGACCAUGGAGUGUGCAUAAGGCUGGGCUGGAGGGAGCCUGA